GGCUGGUCUGGAAGUUAGUGAGUUAUCUCAAUUGAUUGCUCACGGUCAAAGAUCAAACUUCUUAUUCUAUUCUUUCCCCUCUUCUCACUACUGCACCUGACUGUCUUGA
This 109-nucleotide Y RNA is filed under the name Propithecus coquereli (Coquerel's sifaka). Its description in RNAcentral is "Y RNA (ENSPCOG00000012080.1)". It matches the Rfam family "Y RNA". From Rfam's summary of the family: Y RNAs are components of the Ro ribonucleoprotein particle (Ro RNP), in association with Ro60 and La proteins. The record is from Rfam by way of RNAcentral. Lineage: Eukaryota; Metazoa; Chordata; Mammalia; Primates; Indriidae.